GCGGCGCGCUCGGAAGGGAGCCGUCCCUGCCUACGGCACGUGGGGUAGAGGGGAAUGGGCCGUUCCGAGCCAAUCCGUUCUGUAGUUCUGUGCCGCUGACCCUCCGAAUGACUGUCGUUUCAAACAUCCCUAUAAAUAUAUACACGCAGAAACAUUUCUGCGGAUCUGCCGUACCGCUUGCCUCUAAAUGCCACAAAGUUUCUAUAUUUACCGGCGUUGACUGUGGCCUCCAAUAAAUCAGUCCCGGGCAGCAAGUAAUCCCACCUGCACCGUGCUCUGCCGACCGUGCCUGCGCAUGUGUGAGAUCCACAUUGGAGACCUCGAUCCCCACCGCUUUGUUUGAUGCGAGAACACGUUGUGCAUUUUAUUUUCAGCAGGUUUUGCUUUGAUAGUAUGGGCUCAGAGGGUGACGCUGUUACUUAUUGCUGCGGGAAAAAGUUUUUCGUCUUUACUGUUAUCAAGGACGUAGUCCCGCUCCCCUUUAAAUCAAUACCUUGAAUAAAAAGUCCCCCCGGUGAGCAAAGCUUUUUUUCUUGGAAAAAGUCUAUUGAUGCCAACAGGUAAAAGACCUCUUCAAGGUGCCAGCCAUACCGCUCAGCAUUGCAAGGCUACCGAUGAAAGCUUAUCAGAAAGCAAAAACUACACUACACUUGCACUCGAAAACACUUUGAUACACCCACAGAAAUAACGACGUAAACAAAUAAUAGUAAUGUAGACGCGUAUGGGAACGGCUGCAUCAGGGCCUGAACCUCCCAUUGAUCACUUGAAGGGAGCACAGAAUCAGCCACGGGAGCACAGGUGAAGGCAAUUCAGCUGUGCUGCUGGAAGGGGUGGAGCCUGGCUGCACCUCUCCCAGACCCAUUUAAGAGCUGGCUACCAGUGGGGAAGGUUUUCUUUCUGGAGGUUCCUCCUUUGCAGUUUUGCGAUGAGCCCUGGAUGUGGUUCAGAGUUUUGCAGAACUGAGAAGUGAUGAAAGGGCAGGGACCUGGCCCUUUGUGUUGGAACUGUUGCAAAAACUAGAUGGCAGACGUGGGAGGGGGCUCGCGGGACGCCCUAUGCUGCUACUCUACUAUGGAGAGCAGUUUUGGCAAAAAAAUCUGUAGGUGAAGGCAGUAACCACCCUCUGCUAUGAUAGAAAGAAAGUCCUGAAAGACUGAAUGGAAGGAUUUGUGGUCAUCGGGGUGCAAAAGUGGAAAUUACAAGUGCAAACGAGGCUACUCUGCAACAAAGCUAAGACUGCUUUCUAAGCUCUACGGCGUAACAAUUUUCCAGUCCUACUUCAUACAGAUACCACAAGUGAAGCAAGAUGCAGAAUGAUAAACGUUAUUUGAUUCCUCUAAGGAAAAAAAGACAUGAAAAGCAUGAUGUAAAGCACCAGAGCUCAACGCACCACAGCAGUGCCAGUCUUCGCUUACAAAUUAAUCAGCAACUCCUCUUGCUCUCUCCCAAAUAAAAGGCGUUUAUGUAACCCUUGCAUAACCUGCAGGGCACAACAACACAGCAGCUGCCUCGGGUUCAGAAGCAGACAGCAGUACUCAGAAUUCAGAGAGGUACGGCUCACUGCUUGGUCUGCAAACCAGCGAAGCGCCUCUCCUUCCCUUCCUUCACGAUGGUACAGCAAUUGCAGAAGUGAUGCGUCUCCACCAGGGUGUUAUUUGUCUGCUUUUUUUUCUUUGUGCUUAGUCUCUUCAGUGUUUUCAGGGGGAGUGACAGCAGGGGGGUUUUGUCAUCUGCUGCUGCCCGUGACCCGCGCAAGGUUCCACAAGGGUAACAGCUAAGUAGGAGAAACGUCCUUUGUACUUGAUGGAAUAGAAAGGUACCGAUGAAGAGUCACACCUGAUCGUUGCGUUAAAUAUAUACUUACACUUGUAUUUAAGUGUACUUGUGUGAACGGCCACGCUAGUUCGGCUCCUCGUAUCUGCUGUGCUUUUGGUCUGUGGCAGACCAGUCAUGAGGUGCCAUUCCAGCGAUAGAAGUUUGAAAGCUUAAAGUUCAAGGAAGGCAGCGACCUGGAGCAAAUGCCCCCCUCCACCUCUAAAACAGAAAACAAAUUACUGAGGACGUGAAUAAAGAAAGGAUGCUGUUUUAUACCAGGGUGUUAUCCACUAAAAUCCACUUUCGCAGCAACGAACUCCUGUUUCCGACUCGAAGGUAUCAAUAAAAAGCUAUUUCUGAAAUUACUUCAAUAUUUGCGUAUCUAAAAAUAAAAAUAAAAGCUGUAACUUCUACUCAUCACUGCCACAGUAUUUAGUCUGCUGACUGAGGCUGCAAGAGUUUGAAAUGCCCUGGGUGAAUAAAGCAUUGUGGACUUUUGGAUGGGGAAGAGAAGGCUGCUGAACUUUUCUACCCUGCCUUCCAUCCGGACCUGAGAAAAACAGCAGGUGUUUCCCUCUCAAACUGUUUCUUUUUCUUUUUUUUUUUUUUAAAACCUACAAUAAAAGCAUUGCUCAAAUCCCCACCUGGGGUCUUUUGUAGACUAGAAAACUGACUGAGGGCCUUUUUCCAUAUGCAUAUAGAUGCAGCUUUUAGGGAAAGAGUGACAUUUCUACACCCAUGCUGUCCUUUUCCAUUCUUACUCCUGACGUAGUCACAUCUUUUCCCCUACUGGCUUUUCCCCUACUGGCCUUCCUCCAUUUUAGGAGACACCCCCACGCUUGCAACCCAUUGGCGUGACGGGGCUGCCUGCGUCACAGCCAGCUGACAAUGAAGGGAACUCCAAACGCCUGCUGUCCUCCCAGGGAUCGUUUGCUGCAAGGCUGCUGGGUAUCGGAGCGGGACGCUGAACCCUACAAGGAAACGCUGGCACUCGUUCACAAACAGAACUCAGCAUUUUUAUUCGUUGAUUGACUUCCUGCCAGUUUUUGUUUUUUUUUUUUUUUCUUUGAUAUCUGCUAUCACCAGAGAAGAGCAUAAAAACACAGUACAACAUUAUCGACAGGUUAGGAAGGCUGGAAGGGAAAGCAGAUCCCAGUACAUUGGCGAGUAACUCGGCAGAGUUGAUAACUUAAGAUUUUUGAAUGGAUCAGCAAUGAAGCAAUAAAUAUGCUGCCACACUGAACCAACAAGAGGACUUUUGCUAAAUUUGUGAUUUAUUGCAUUACAUUUUAUAACUGAACGUAUCCAUCAUCAUACAUUUGAUCACCCACAAGGCAAAUGACACUUUUUCAUACGUUAUGUGCUAAAUGGCUAAAGUUAUGCAGUAGCUGAACCGGGCUAGAACUAGUAGAGGUAGAUACUGAAUGGGCAGUGCCAGGCAGAAAUAUUUUGUCCCAGUACUUUUUACCUUUUGUUAUGAACAAUUAGCAGAUGCAACAUUUUCAAUUAAAACAACAAACAUCUUAGGGAAGCUACUCUAAGAUGCUUUGAAUUCGCUAGUGACGUUUACCUCGACAUACUUCGUUGUUAUGGUCCCUUGUAAAUUGGACAACCUUCAAGCUCUGGGUUUUCUGCCGCGAUUUACCUGGAGACCGACGCGCAAAGCUGGAAUCUUUGUGAACGUGCUAUUCUUCGCUGGAACCGCUCUAGAAGUAAUACACACGUACAGCUUCCAGGACACAGGAGACUGCAUUUAGAUUAUUUACAGUUUCAGUAAUCAUUCCAGCAACAAAAAACCAAACCAAACCCUACUUUGAUGCUUAAUCUAAACCAGAAUUUCUAUUACGCUGCCUCCUUGUAACUCCCUUCAGUCUCCUUUUGCCAAGAUGCUGUAUCAGCUACUCUUGGCCGUUCUCAUUGCUGGCUGUGUGCUCUGACAAAGUCUCUGCCCCGAAACAGGCUUUGAAACUGGCACGUGCAGCUUACAUUUCCAGGAAGUAUCUCCUUCCACCACCAGAGCGGUUCCUAACCAGAACUUUCCUGGAAGCAACGGUCUUUUCCAGCCUCAGCAACCGUCUUCUUCCACCUGGAACAGCGCCCGCUGCUAGCACGCUCACGGACCGUUCUGUUCCUCCCCGACACUGCCAUCUAAUUAGACUACAUCUGCAUCACAUUCCUCCGCAGCAUCCCAGAGCAGCAGGUCAGGCUGUACUCAGUUACCAGACGAGCCCAACUUUCACUUCCAUACGAUAGGAACUAUUGUAUUUUAUCCAUCAGGUACGUGCCCCAUUUUUAGAGCAAAUUUCCUAGAGGGGGAAGAGAGGGAAACGAUUUUGAAGCUAGCUAGCUGCUAGCACAAAACGCUUACAAAACAUUUAAAGCGAUCGCAAAAAGGAGAACAAGUAUUCUUUACUCAGGUCUACUGAGCUGCAUUACCCUAUCAGAUGUUGUAGCACGAGUGACGAAUGUCUGAAGUGCAGCUGUGGUACGUGGGGUGCUAGCGCUACGCGAACGAUGGCACCGCUGCUCAAGCCCUCAAAGGCGUAACCUAAGACCGAGUCCUUCCAUUUGGUACGUAGGAACUUGCUCACGUGGCGGCGAGAUCGCGAUCUCACCCUACUCUCGCUGCUGUUUCCCUUCGGUAAAUAAAAACAACUACAGUAAGGUGUUACACCAACUUUCAGGGGCUGCUGUACAGCUGAGCGCCUCCAAACCUGUAAAAACAAACCGAACGCUAAAGGAAGAUCUGUUAGGCUAACGACACGCGCCUCAUCAAACGCUCCACAAAGAUCGACUAGGCUAACAUUGUCUCCCUCAUCUAGCCCUGCCGAUCUUCCCGAGAACCUCAGAACCUUCUCCUUACGCUAGGGAAACAACCGAGUGAGACUUCAUUCUGUACUGACACCGGGAACGUCCUCUCCCUGCAGUCACGCUAGCAUUAAGACCUCGUCCGAAAAGUGUAACCAUAGGAGAUGCGGAGGCUUUUAAGGCAUUGUAAACGCAAAGGCGUGAGAUUUGUUACGGAGUAGCUCCUUCCAAGAACGUUUCGUCUGUUCGUACACACCUACCAUCCCGAUGUGCCUGAACGCUCUGCUCUCCCUACUAUCUUAGCGCCUCUUUUACUUACGUACAUUCUGAGUCCAUUUCCCGUUGAGUUAUGCAACAUGCGUGAACCCAAGCUGCAGUUUUGUCUAAGGAAAACGUAUGGUUCGAGUCCCAGCCGUCCUACCCCUCCCCUCCACCCCCCAAAGAAAAACAACCCCAACAACAAGGACCAAAAACCGAUAUCCACGUCAUGCGACGUCAGCCGUGGCUCCACUAACGGCAAAAGGAUGUCGCUUCAGGGGAAGCUGUGAAAUACUAAACCAGAAUUUGCCGCUAAUAAGCAGUUCUAGAUGGCUCUGACUGCAACUGCAGCUCAUCCGCCUUGGCAGCUGAACACCGGCAUCUGCCAUUUAUCUCCGUACGGAAAGGGAAGUUUUCACUGCAGCACGACGCUGUGCUGCUACUUCACAAAAGAUGCGCUCCGGUGGGUUAUAACUGUGUCUCCAACUCUUAUAAGCACCUCCCUGGCCAUCAACUGCACACCUGAGAAGUGCGGAGAUGAAGCGGUAAGAAUUCCUACGCCAAUUAAAAUAACCUUCUAGGUCAGGGAAACUCUCUACUUCCCUGCCCGAAUCUCCGCUCUUCCGGAAGGGAACGAGGAACUGAUCCGAAAGCAUCCCUUCUGAAGCACAAUGAACACCUUUGGAAGUCUCAGGGGGAAUCGGAACGGAUAUGUAGAUGAGGUUUCUGGAAGGCCCGUACAAAUAUCCUUUCCCGCUUGCAUCAUGAAGGAUAACGAUCCUGCUUUGAGUUCAUCUAUUUUGAUGCAAAAACAGGUGCGGAACAAGUUAAACACACGAUCCCGUUUAUAAGCGGCAUCCAAACCGCAUUUGGAAAAAAGAAAAUCGCUCGAUGCUAGUCAUGAACCGUUUAAAAAAGCGAGCAUUUAUCUGCCUCCAGCUAAGCGUCAGAAGCCAAGAGAACAGCAGCCAUACUCAAAGAGGCAAGGCCAAGAGCUCGUAGCUCGCGUAGGCAAGACUGAACCGUCUUCGGUGCUUGCAGAAGGCAUGCAGUCCGAGUAUCUCAGGCCACAGAAAAGACCGAGAUCUAGACGUUAAAGAGCAAUUGGAGGCUCUACAGGCAUUCUAGACCUCUGAAGCCCGGCGGAUUAAAUAGACAAAUACAGCGAUACAACAUAUAUUUCCAACGUGAACUACGCCACAAACAUACGAGAGGACCAUCUAACCGAGAAAAGAAAGGGUUGCCAAACGCGCAAGCAAAAACUGACGCAACUACAAACCUCAGGAAACCUUCCCAGAUUUCUGACCUGUACCAUCGAUCACUGACAUCUGUUACGUGGUAGAGGAAGGCUGCGUAUCCACACGACGGAUACUCUCUGACCGAACUCCUGCAGCAAAGAAGGCACUCGCUUUGUAAGCUGUAGCUUAUUUUCUGCUCUGCUUUAGGAUAAACCUAUUAAAAAAACAACAUUUGGGGACGUAUCUAUAAUAUUAACACAGUAGACUCGCUGAACGUAGCUUGACUCGGAAAAUAAUCUUCCACAGAAAACCGGUGGAACGAAAAAGCCAAGCGGAAAAGCAUUCUGCGUUAUAGGACUAGCCAGACAUUCAGUAUUGACGUAAUUCGUUCGCGCUUUCUACUCAACAUCCGCCCAUCGGCAGUGACGCGAUCAGCGUAACCCGACAGCGUAGUAAGCCGACCCUGAGCUGCGCUCCUGGGAACCCGUUCGUUUUCAAAGUACAACAGAGAUUGGUUUAAAUAUUCACACGAGUGUUUUUCAAAACGUUUUAUUGCAUCGUAUUUGGUACCUUAUGUUUGACAAAGGAAAUUACAUCUGUAACUGCAGGAAUAAGAAGCUGGUCUGUUAUUGAAAAAAAAUCUUGGGCCCCUUAAAAGUUACAAAGUCUCGGGCUUGCCUGAAACAACUGAGCAAGAAAUAUAUUCUUAGAAAUGUAGGGCUUCAAGUAUUACAAACCUGUGACACUGUGGAAAAGUUCCAGAGGUAUCUAAACUGCAGCACUUUUUUUUUUUUUCUGCAUAAUGUGAACAAGGCCUGCUGAGGUUUUAAACUAUUAGUCUCUUGAUCGCUCAAAACGGUAGUCGGGAGUUCUCCUCUUGGCAACGUCAAGCCAUAGUAUGUUCUCAUUUUGCUUUCGCUCUACGUGAAAAACGCGUGCUAUCUUUCCUAAUUAGUUGGUGCCACAUCACAGUGCGUAAUUUUAUUUGGUUCUUGCAUUACAGUUUUAACAAGCUCGGCCGACCUAUUCGGACAGGCGCAUCUCCUAACCAGCGACGUCAUUUCUUCUCCCCGCCCCGCCUCCCCUCUUUCAUUCAGAGAAAUCGUUUCAACGGGUUCCCUGGGUUCCCUCGGUUAAAAACUGUGGUGCAAGAACACCAAACUGAUCGUGUACAGUGAAUUUCAGAGACGCAACGAGCUUAUUGAACACACUACGUUUCUUAAUUCGGCUUGGUAUCCGUAUGUCCCAGCAUCCGCAACGUACCGCGGAUGUUGCGGGUUUCUCUCUGUUUAUUCUGAUUUCACAUUGCAUACUUCCUAUGGACUGAAUCAUCCCCGUAUCAAAAUCAGUCAGAUGCUAAAGCCCCAACAACUCUUUGUGCUCAGUGAAAGAAUCCAGUGCUAAAACAGCAUUUUCGCUGUCUGAGAUAACAGUAAUCUCACAAGACAAAUUUAAAGUAAUAUUUCUGCCACACACCUGCUCUGAAGGCUCCGCGCCUCCAGAUUUCAUAUAAAUUAGUUUAAAAACAUGGGUAGGUAGGUAAGGACGAGGGCUGUUGUUUUUUGUUUUUUUUCUCUUCAAUUUUAGCAGCUUUUAAUUUUUAAGAAACCAAACAACCUAUAUCCAGUAAUACGUUAGAUAUUUUAUAUAUAUACUUUGUCA
Molecule: long non-coding RNA, 7781 nt
Organism: Lagopus muta (rock ptarmigan)
Lineage: Eukaryota; Metazoa; Chordata; Aves; Galliformes; Phasianidae
Exons: 2
Source: RefSeq, a predicted model, not a curated record